Molecule: non-coding RNA, 21 nt
Filed under: Caenorhabditis elegans
Lineage: Eukaryota; Metazoa; Nematoda; Chromadorea; Rhabditida; Rhabditidae
Source: RNAcentral
UUUUGCAGUUGCAAUGUUUGU